CUGAGGCGUGACGACGAGGCACUACGGUGCUGAAGCAACAAAUGCCCUGCUUCCAGGAAAAGCCUCUAAGCAUCAGGUAACAUCAAAUCGUACCCCAAACCGACACAGGUGGUCAGGUAGAGAAUACCAAGGCGCUUGAGAGAACUCGGGUGAAGGAACUAGGCAAAAUGGUGCCGUAACUUCGGGAGAAGGCACGCUGACACGUAGGUGAAGUGAUUUACUCAUGGAGCUGAAGUCAGUCGAAGAUACCAGCUGGCUGCAACUGUUUAUUAAAAACACAGCACUGUGCAAACACGAAAGUGGACGUAUACGGUGUGACGCCUGCCCGGUGCCGGAAGGUUAAUUGAUGGGGUCAGCGCAAGCGAAGCUCCUGAUCGAAGCCCCGGUAAACGGCGGCCGUAACUAUAACGGUCCUAAGGUAGCGAAAUUCCUUGUCGGGUAAGUUCCGACCUGCACGAAUGGCGUAAUGAUGGCCAGGCUGUCUCCACCCGAGACUCAGUGAAAUUGAACUCGCUGUGAAGAUGCAGUGUACCCGCGGCAAGACGGAAAGACCCCGUGAACCUUUACUAUAGCUUGACACUGAACAUUGAGCCUUGAUGUGUAGGAUAGGUGGGAGGCUUUGAAGUGUGGACGCCAGUCUGCAUGGAGCCGACCUUGAAAUACCACCCUUUAAUGUUUGAUGUUCUAACGUGGACCCGUUACCCGGGUUGCGGACAGUGUCUGGUGGGUAGUUUGACUGGGGCGGUCUCCUCCUAAAGAGUAACGGAGGAGCACGAAGGUUGGCUAAUCCUGGUCGGACAUCAGGAGGUUAGUGCAAUGGCAUAAGCCAGCUUGACUGCGAGCGUGACGGCGCGAGCAGGUGCGAAAGCAGGUCAUAGUGAUCCGGUGGUUCUGAAUGGAAGGGCCAUCGCUCAACGGAUAAAAGGUACUCCGGGGAUAACAGGCUGAUACCGCCCAAGAGUUCAUAUCGACGGCGGUGUUUGGCACCUCGAUGUCGGCUCAUCACAUCCUGGGGCUGAAGUAGGUCCCAAGGGUAUGGCUGUUCGCCAUUUAAAGUGGUACGCGAGCUGGGUUUAGAACGUCGUGAGACAGUUCGGUCCCUAUCUGCCGUGGGCGCUGGAGAACUGAGGGGGGCUGCUCCUAGUACGAGAGGACCGGAGUGGACGCAUCACUGGUGUUCGGGUUGUCAUGCCAAUGGCACUGCCCGGUAGCUAAAUGCGGAAGAGAUAAGUGCUGAAAGCAUCUAAGCACGAAACUUGCCCCGAGAUGAGUUCUCCCUGAGACUUAGAGUCUCCUGAAGGAACGUUGAAGACGACGACGUUGAUAGGCCGGGUGUGUAAGCGCAGCGAUGCGUUGAGCUAACCGGUACUAAUGAACCGUGAGGCUUAACCUUACAACGCCGAAG
This 1405-nucleotide ribosomal RNA is filed under the name Salmonella enterica subsp. enterica serovar Hadar. RNAcentral's name for it is "bacterial LSU rRNA". It matches the Rfam family "Bacterial large subunit ribosomal RNA", at positions 1556 to 2925 of the family's 2925-position model. The record is from RNAcentral. Lineage: Bacteria; Pseudomonadati; Pseudomonadota; Gammaproteobacteria; Enterobacterales; Enterobacteriaceae.